GAGAGUAACAUGAGUAAAAUGCCAACUAUAAGGAUACGUUUCCAGGCAGCAUAUGGUCACAGCUCAAAAAUGAACUUUUUUUAAAGCUUACUACUGCAAAUUAUUUUAGAAGCAGAGACAGUUAAAAAUCAUACCAAGGAAGAGAACACACACACGUACACACACACACAACUCUAGGGAAGAGAAAUUAUAAAACAAUGGAUGUAGAUUAUAAUAAUUUUUUAGGCACAGCUUCAAAACUGUCACAAUUGUGACAUCAGUUUUUGAUACCAUUCAGCCAAGCAACAACUACUUUAACAUAGAAGUGAGUAUCAAAUUAGGAAUAGGCGUGUGGCUACAUCCAUCACCAAGACAACAGGUGUAGUUUUAUAUGGUGAACACGUAUUUCAAUAGUGUUGAAAAUAGACUGCACCUUAUACGUGGUAUUUCCCACUAUGCAGAAGGCCUGCUUUCUGUUCCUAGGGCCCUGCAUGGAGAAUUCAGGGAUUCCCUGGAACUAAUACUAUUUUCCCCAGCGACUUCAUUUCAGUCUUUCCUUUUAGGUAGCCUGGCCCGGGUCAGAAAUUCUCUGACAGUUGGUACAAGAGAACGAGUGUGCCAGUGUGAACGCUGCAGGGGAUGUGUUGUUGCCAACUGAUGGAGUGUACUUCCAUAUGCAGAGCUAAAAUAGACUUGGAUGGUUGAGAAGAUAGAGACUGCUCUUUAAGUGCCAGUACGGGAAACACUUGGUUACCUGUCUUCUGGGGCCGACUUAUCUGAAAGAAUGAGGUUUCUGAUAGCUAACACCUCAGCAUUACAAUUCUGUUUUCCAUAAACUUCUGUGCAGAAAUCUGGGGAAUUCAAAAGAACUGGGGAGUGCUGAUCUCCCUGGAGUCUGAAGCCUGGAGAAACCAUCCAGAAGGCUGAAGCUAUUCAUCUCAAAGGAGCAGAUGUUGUCCCUCCCCAAGGAGUUAUUAUGGGUUGGAAGAAAUGAGAAAAUGAAUAUAAACAAGUUAUUCUGUGAAUGUUAUCAAAUAUGAUCAGCACCAACCAAAUAGAGCUCUAAAUGAGUGCCAUAAUCUUUCACCUGGGUUCCUUAGCUCUUGUGAAGGUAUCUUCAUGCAUGGAUGGUAGUUCAAACUGAUGUUUCUUUGAAAGACUCUGGCCUUGUCAAAAGAAGGACGUAAGAAGGCACGAUGUAUUAUACUUGGGAAUGAUAGAAGAGACUGACCUGGUAUUUCCACCC
This 1225-nucleotide long non-coding RNA is filed under the name Homo sapiens (human). RNAcentral describes it as "HSALNT0372544". The record is from RNAcentral. Lineage: Eukaryota; Metazoa; Chordata; Mammalia; Primates; Hominidae.